This 440-nucleotide ribosomal RNA is filed under the name uncultured bacterium. Its description in RNAcentral is "partial 16S ribosomal RNA". It matches the Rfam family "Bacterial small subunit ribosomal RNA", at positions 338 to 795 of the family's 1533-position model. The record is from RNAcentral.
CCUACGGGUGGCAGCAGUGGGGAAUAUUGCACAAUGGGGGAAACCCUGAUGCAGCGACGCCGCGUGAGGGAAGAAGUAUUUCGGUACGUAAAGCUCUAUCAGCAGGGAAGAAAAUGACGGUACCUGACUAAGACUCCCCGGCUAACUACGUGCCAGCAGCCGCGGUAAUACGUAGGGGGCAAGCGUUAUCCGGAUUUACUGGGUGUAAAGGGAGCGGAGACGGCAGCGCAAGUCUGGAGUGAAAUCCCAUGGCUUAACCAGGGAACUGCUUUGGAAACUGUGCAGCUAGAGUGCAGGAGAGGGAAGUGGAAUUCCUAGUGUAGCGGUGAAAUGCGUAGAUAUUAGGAGGAACACCAGUGGCGAAGGCGGCUUACUGGACUGUAACUGACGUUGAGGCUCGAAAGCGUGGGGAGCAAACAGGAUUAGAUACCCCUGUAGUC